AUGCACAAGCUUCUGCAACUCCGUCAGAGCGGCACCGUCAGCGAGUACCGUCAAGCGUUCGACGGCCACAUGUACCACCUAUUGGCGUUGGAUCCCUCGCUCUCCACCAAGUUCUUCAUCACGCAGUUUCUGCUGGGCCUCAAAGACGAAUUGCGUGCAGCCGUGCGCCUCCAGGCUCCAACAAGCAUCACACGCGCGUCAAUCCUCGCCCGCAUUCAGGAGGAAGAAUUGAACACACCGCGGGCGCGGCCACGACCGCAACCGCAAGGCCGUCCACCUCCGGUGCCACAAGCACGACCAGGCGCGGCACCACGACAACAGCCCGACGACUAUGCACGCGAGCGCCAACUCAAGGAAUUUCGCCGCGCCAACGGGCUCUGCUUCAAAUGUGGUGAUUGUUACAGCCGGGAGCACCGCUGCAACCCACAAGCGCAACUGCUCACGAUCCAGGUGGGCGCAUACGGAGAAGUGCUCACCGACGACACCGUCCAUGCACUGGAUUUGCUCGAGCCGCAGGAACCAGCAGUUCCUCCUCCUCCGGAGUGCUGCACUAUAUCAGCACACGCGCUGGACGGCUCAGAGGCACCCAGUACCAUCCGUCUCCGCGCUCUGGUGGGCAAUCAGGUCAUGCUGCUUCUGCUGGAUUCCGGGAGUACACACAGUUUCAUCAACAAGACCUUUGUCGAGCGCGUCGGCGCCACUACACAGGAGAUCGACACAUUGGAUGUGCGUGUGGCGAACGGCGAUCGCCUCACCUGUUCGCGCCAGGUCCCUGACCUCAAAUGGUGGAUGCAGGGUCACACCUUCUCGACACUGAUGUAUGAACUCGACACGGGCGCCUAUGACGGCAUCCUCGGCAUGGAUUGGUUGGAGAAAAACAGCCCAAUGAUGUGCCACUGGCAAGAAAAAUUCAUCUCCUUCACCCACGACGGGGAACUGGUCACUCUACAAGGUGUUCGACCAAAGACGACGCCAACGUUAGCGGCAGUUCAACCAGCUGAGUUGUGCAAACUGAUUGCAGGCAAUGACAUUUGGGCAAUGGCCAUGGUGGAAAUGCAGCCACCUAAACCCAAGUUUCGCAUACCAUCACUGACACCGAUCAGUGAUCUAUUGGAGGAGUUUGGCGAUGUUUUCGCCAAGCCCAUUGGCCUACCCCCUCACAGGCAGUACGAUCACGCAGUUACUUUGGAAGAAGGGGCUCAACCCACCAACACCAGACCGUAUCGCUAUUCUCCACUGCAGAAAGAUGAAAUAGAGCGACAAGUGAAAGAGAUGCUCGAUGCUGGGGUGAUCACGCACUCUAUCAGUCCCUACGCUGCUCAUGUUCUGUUAGUGAAGAAGAAGGAUGGGACUUGGCGAUUUUGCGUGGACUACAGACGCCUCAACGACAACACGGUGAAGAACAAAUUUCCCUUGCCGAUCGUGGACGAGCUGCUCGAUGAACUGGCCGGUGCGGCAUUCUUCUCCAAGCUCGAUCUGCGUGUAGGCUAUCAGCAAAUUCGCAUGCGGGAAGAGGAUGAACACAAGACCGCAUUCAAGACACACCACGGCCACUUCCAGUUCCACGUCAUGCCGUUCGGGUUGACGAAUGCGCCAGCAACAUUUCAAUGCUUGAUGAAUGCAAUCUUUGCCAAGUAUACACGUAAGUUUGUCAUAAUCUUCCUUGACGACAUUCUAGUUUUUAGUGAGACACUGGAAGAACAUCUGGAACACCUCCCCCUCAUCCUCAGCUUGCUUCGGGAGCACCAGCUUUAUGCCAAGAUGUUGAAGUGCUCUUUUGCACAAGACCAUAUCGACUACCUUGGCCACAUCAUCUCCAAACAA
Molecule: ribosomal RNA, 1824 nt
Filed under: Triticum aestivum (bread wheat)
Lineage: Eukaryota; Viridiplantae; Streptophyta; Magnoliopsida; Poales; Poaceae
Description: partial small subunit ribosomal RNA
Source: RNAcentral